Schistosoma margrebowiei is the source of this 45-nucleotide non-coding RNA. The record is from Rfam. Lineage: Eukaryota; Metazoa; Platyhelminthes; Trematoda; Strigeidida; Schistosomatidae.
AUCUGGCUGAUGAAUCCAAAAUAGGAUGAAAUGUGCGUCUUAGAU